GACGAACGCUGGCGGCGUGCUUAACACAUGCAAGUCGAACGGUAAGGCCUUUCGGGGUACACGAGUGGCGAACGGGUGAGUAACACGUGGGUGAUCUGCCCUGCACUUCGGGAUAGGCCCGGGAAACUGGGUCUAAUACCGGAUAGGACUGCGCGGUGCAUGCCGUGUGGUGGAAAGAUUUAUCGGUGCAGGAUGGGCCCGCGGCCUAUCAGCUUGUUGGUGGGGUAAUGGCCUACCAAGGCGACGACGGGUAGCCGGCCUGAGAGGGCGACCGGCCACACUGGGACUGAGACACGGCCCAGACUCCUACGGGAGGCAGCAGUGGGGAAUAUUGCACAAUGGGCGCAAGCCUGAUGCAGCGACGCCGCGUGAGGGAUGACGGCCUUCGGGUUGUAAACCUCUUUCAGCAGGGACGAAGCGUGAGUGACGGUACCUGCAGAAGAAGCACCGGCCAACUACGUG
RNAcentral lists this ribosomal RNA (462 nucleotides) under uncultured bacterium. RNAcentral describes it as "partial 16S ribosomal RNA". It matches the Rfam family "Bacterial small subunit ribosomal RNA", at positions 28 to 507 of the family's 1533-position model. The record is from RNAcentral.